Oenanthe melanoleuca is the source of this 818-nucleotide long non-coding RNA. RefSeq lists it as uncharacterized. NCBI's taxonomy places the organism in Eukaryota, Metazoa, Chordata, Aves, Passeriformes, Muscicapidae. The record is from RefSeq and is a predicted model, not a curated record. The transcript is spliced from 2 exons.
GCUCCUGGGAAGACACAGUGCUGCCCUGCCUGGACAGACACGCACGAUGAACGCAUAAACCUAAACCCACCCACGGAGAAACCUACGGUGGGGUUUUCUUUUUAUCCCCUUUCCAGCUGGGAAAGAUGGGGAUGAAUCACCAGGAGUUGCCACUGGAUUCAAGGAGAGGUAUUUACUGAAAAGUGUAACAUUAACAGCUGGAGGAGAAGAGUGAUCAUCAAAUGAAAUUAUGAGGUGGCAGGUUCAAAAGAAAGUACCUCUUCACACAAAACAAAUCUUGGAAGUUACUGCUACAGGAUAUCAGGAAGCAGUUAAAAAAGCAAUUAGCACGAUCAUGGAAGAAAAAUCCGAGCAGGGAUGUUCAGCACAAACACCUGUGAUUCAGGAGCUCUUUGAGGUGCAAAUCCGCAUCCUGCGGAAGCAUUUUGGGGAGCAGCCUCCCCUGUGCUCAUGCUGUCAUUAGGCAAUUACUGCUGGCUGCUCUGGGGAUAGUCCUGCACUGGACUUGAAAUGCUGCUGUUCUGACCCAGCACAGUCAUUCUUACAUUUAACUGUCAUUUCAUUCAAUGUGGGUUUUCUUUUUUCCCCCAGUCUUUAGUAAGUCACAGACAACUAUUGAAAUAAAUCUUUGUGACACAGAAAUUCUCUUUCUUUAUGCUCUGUACUUCUCUUGUUCUUUCCUGUCUAUUACUUCGAUUGAGGGAUGGAAGGUUGCUCUGCUGUGUGUUUGUAUAAUACCACAUUAUCAAGCUGAACGCUGGUCCGUGCCUGUAUUUCCUAGUUAAUUAUUUGAUAUAAAUAAAUAUUAAUAAUCUGUA